Sander lucioperca (pikeperch) is the source of this 103-nucleotide long non-coding RNA. RefSeq lists it as uncharacterized. The record is from RefSeq and is a predicted model, not a curated record. Lineage: Eukaryota; Metazoa; Chordata; Actinopteri; Perciformes; Percidae. The transcript is spliced from 3 exons.
AUGCAGCAGACAGAGCCAGAGUAAUUGAAACUUCACAACUUUAUUGUCCACUCAAGGCCAGAAAAUAAACCGUGACAUAAUCGAUUAUGGCACUUUGCCGCAU